UGCCAGCAGCCGCGGUAAUACAUCGGGGUCAAGUGGUCAGGAUGAUUAUUGGGCCUAAAGCAUCCGUAGCCGGCUCUGUAAGUUUUCGGUUAAAUCUGUACGCUCAACGUACAGGCUGCCGGGAAUACUGCAGAGCUAGGGAGUGGGAGAGGUAGACGGUACUCGGUAGGAAGGGGUAAAAUCCUUUGAUCUAUUGAUGACCACCUGUGGCGAAGGCGGUCUACCAGAACACGUCCGACGGUGAGGGAUGAAAGCUGGGGGAGCAAACAGGAUUAGAUA
This 279-nucleotide ribosomal RNA is filed under the name uncultured bacterium. RNAcentral describes it as "partial 16S ribosomal RNA". It matches the Rfam family "Archaeal small subunit ribosomal RNA", at positions 456 to 735 of the family's 1478-position model. The record is from RNAcentral.